Non-coding RNA from Caenorhabditis elegans, 21 nucleotides. The record is from Ensembl. Lineage: Eukaryota; Metazoa; Nematoda; Chromadorea; Rhabditida; Rhabditidae.
UCAAUGUUUCAAAUCCUUCAU